UACGGAGGAUCCGAGCGUUAUCCGGAUUUAUUGGGUUUAAAGGGAGCGUAGGUGGAUUGUUAAGUCAGUUGUGAAAGUUUGCGGCUCAACCGUAAAAUUGCAGUUGAAACUGGCAGUCUUGAGUACAGUAGAGGUGGGCGGAAUUCGUGGUGUAGCGGUGAAAUGCUUAGAUAUCACGAAGAACUCCGACUGCGAAGGCAGCUCACUGGACUGCAACUGACACUGAGGCUCGAAAGUGUGGGUAUCAAACAGG
This 253-nucleotide ribosomal RNA is filed under the name uncultured bacterium. RNAcentral describes it as "partial 16S ribosomal RNA". It matches the Rfam family "Bacterial small subunit ribosomal RNA", at positions 524 to 776 of the family's 1533-position model. The record is from RNAcentral.